UUAAUUGAUAAUGCAAAUGCUACUAACCCUUGUUGUGAGCAUGUGCAUCUUGUGGAGGAGAAUGCCAAGUUGAAGGAACAACUCGAGAAAGGUCUUGUGUCAUGCAUACAAGGCGAGAAGAACCUAAAUGACCUUUUGAGCAAUCAAAAGGAAGUUGUGGGCAAGGAGGGAGUUGGGUUAUCACCCAAGUCCAAGAACAAGAAGAAGAACAAGGAGAAGAAGAGCAAGACCGAUCGACCUCCUCCGCUCGCGCAAACCUUUGUGAAGGAGGGAGAAGGUGCUCCUAAGGAGAAGAAGAACAAUGGGAAGAGUGGUGAUGCCAAAGAGCGCAAAGCCAUCUCUCCCAACAAAGCCGGCGACUUUAACCCAUCUUAUGUGUUGUGCCGUGCUAGUGAUGGGCAUGUUUAUGCUAAAUUUGUUGGUUCUCCUUAUGAGUACAUUGAAUGGUCUAUUUGGGUUCCUAAGACCCUUGUUACUAAC
This 480-nucleotide ribosomal RNA is filed under the name Triticum aestivum (bread wheat). RNAcentral's name for it is "partial small subunit ribosomal RNA". The record is from RNAcentral. Lineage: Eukaryota; Viridiplantae; Streptophyta; Magnoliopsida; Poales; Poaceae.